GACGAACGCUGGCGGCGUGCUUAACACAUGCAAGUCGAACGGAAAGGCCCUGCUUUUGUGGGGUGCUCGAGUGGCGAACGGGUGAGUAACACGUGAGUAACCUGCCCUUGACUUUGGGAUAACUUCAGGAAACUGGGGCUAAUACCGGAUAGGAGCUCCUGCUGCAUGGUGGGGGUUGGAAAGUUUCGGCGGUUGGGGUUGGACUCGCGGCUUAUCAGCUUGUUGGUGGGGUCGUGGCUUACCAAGGCUUUGACGGGUAGCCGGCCUGAGAGGGUGACCGGCCGCAUUGGGACUGAGAUACGGCCCAGACUCCUACGGGGGGCAGCAGUGGGGAAUAUUGCACAAUGGGCGGAAGCCUGAUGCAGCAACGCCGCGUGCGGGAUGACGGCCUUCGGGUUGUAAACCGCUUUCGCCUGUGACGAAGCGUGAGUGACGGUAAUGGGUAAAGAAGCACCGGCUAACUACGUG
RNAcentral lists this ribosomal RNA (468 nucleotides) under uncultured bacterium. RNAcentral's name for it is "partial 16S ribosomal RNA". It matches the Rfam family "Bacterial small subunit ribosomal RNA", at positions 28 to 507 of the family's 1533-position model. The record is from RNAcentral.